RNAcentral lists this ribosomal RNA (429 nucleotides) under bacterium. Its description in RNAcentral is "partial 16S ribosomal RNA". It matches the Rfam family "Bacterial small subunit ribosomal RNA", at positions 355 to 776 of the family's 1533-position model. The record is from RNAcentral.
UAGGGAAUCUUCCACAAUGGACGCAAGUCUGAUGGAGCAACGCCGCGUGAGUGAAGAAGGUUUUCGGAUCGUAAAGCUCUGUUGUUGGUGAAGAAGGAUAGAGGUAGUAACUGGCCUUUAUUUGACGGUAAUCAACCAGAAAGUCACGGCUAACUACGUGCCAGCAGCCGCUGUAAUACGUAGGUGGCAAGCGUUGUCCGGAUUUAUUGGGCGUAAAGCGAGCGCAGGCGGAAGAAUAAGUCUGAUGUGAAAGCCCUCGGCUUAACCGAGGAACUGCAUCGGAAACUGUUUUUCUUGAGUGCAGAAGAGGAGAGUGGAAUUCCAUGUGUAGCGGUGGAAUGCGUAGAUAUAUGGAAGAACACCAGUGGCGAAGGCGACUCUCUGGUCUGCAACUGACGCUGAGGCUCGAAAGCAUGGGUAGCGAACAGG